This 666-nucleotide ribosomal RNA is filed under the name uncultured bacterium. RNAcentral's name for it is "bacterial SSU rRNA". It matches the Rfam family "Bacterial small subunit ribosomal RNA", at positions 56 to 692 of the family's 1533-position model. The record is from RNAcentral.
UGCAAGUCGUACGAGAAAGUCCGCUUCGGCGGAUGAGUAAAGUGGCGCACGGGUGGGUAACGCGUGGGUAAUCUACCCUUGUGACUGGGAUAACUCGCCGAAAGGCGGGCUAAUACCGGAUAUUGUCUUCAGGGCUCCGGCCUUGGAGAUGAAAGGCGGGGAUCUGCUUCGGUGGACCUGCUGCACAAGGAUGAGCCCGCGUCCCAUUAGCUAGUUGGUGGGGUAAUGGCCCACCAAGGCGACGAUGGGUAGCUGGUCUGAGAGGAUGAUCAGCCACACUGGCACUGAAACACGGGCCAGACUCCUACGGGAGGCAGCAGUGAGGAAUUUUGCGCAAUGGGGGAAACCCUGACGCAGCAACGCCGCGUGAGUGAUGAAGGCCUUCGGGUCGUAAAGCUCUGUCGGGUGGGAAGAAACGUCGGAGGGUGAAUAGCUCUUCGGCCUGACGGUACCACCAAAGGAAGCACCGGCCAACUCCGUGCCAGCAGCCGCGGUAAUACGGAGGGUGCAAGCGUUGUUCGGAAUCAUUGGGCGUAAAGGGCGCGUAGGCGGUUCGGUAAGUCGGGUGUGAAAGCCCCGGGCUCAACCCGGGAAGUGCAUCCGAAACUGCCGGAGUUGAGUACGGGAGGGGGAAGUGGAAUUCCUGGUGUAGGGGCGAAAUCCGUA